This 925-nucleotide ribosomal RNA is filed under the name uncultured Oxalobacteraceae bacterium. RNAcentral describes it as "bacterial SSU rRNA". It matches the Rfam family "Bacterial small subunit ribosomal RNA", at positions 45 to 967 of the family's 1533-position model. Lineage: Bacteria; Pseudomonadati; Pseudomonadota; Betaproteobacteria; Burkholderiales; Oxalobacteraceae. The record is from RNAcentral.
GGCCUAACACAUGCAAGUCGAACGGCAGCGCGGGGCAACCUGGCGGCGAGUGGCGAACGGGUGAGUAAUAUAUCGGAACGUACCCUGGAGUGGGGGAUAACGUAGCGAAAGUUACGCUAAUACCGCAUACGAUCUAAGGAUGAAAACAGGGGACCGCAAGGCCUUGUGCUCCUGGAGCGGCCGAUAUCUGAUUAGCUAGUUGGUAGGGUAAAAGCCUACCAAGGCAUCGAUCAGUAGCUGGUCUGAGAGGACGACCAGCCACACUGGAACUGAGACACGGUCCAGACUCCUACGGGAGGCAGCAGUGGGGAAUUUUGGACAAUGGGCGCAAGCCUGAUCCAGCAAUGCCGCGUGAGUGAAGAAGGCCUUCGGGUUGUAAAGCUCUUUUGUCAGGGAAGAAACGGUGGAGGCUAAUAUCCUUUGCUAAUGACGGUACCUGAAGAAUAAGCACCGGCUAACUACGUGCCAGCAGCCGCGGUAAUACGUAGGGUGCAAGCGUUAAUUGGAAUUACUGGGCGUAAAGCGUGCGCAGGCGGUUUUGUAAGUCUGUCGUGAAAUCCCCGGGCUCAACCUGGGAAUGGCGAUGGAGACUGCAAGGCUAGAGUUUGGCAGAGGGGGGUAGAGUUCCACGUGUAGCAGUGAAAUGCGUAGAUAUGUGGAGGAACACCGAUGGCGAAGGCAGCCCCCUGGGUCAAAACUGACGCUCAUGCACGAAAGCGUGGGGAGCAAACAGGAUUAGAUACCCUGGUAGUCCACGCCCUAAACGAUGUCUACUAGUUGUCGGGUCUUAAUUGACUUGGUAACGCAGCUAACGCGUGAAGUAGACCGCCUGGGGAGUACGGUCGCAAGAUUAAAACUCAAAGGAAUUGACGGGGACCCGCACAAGCGGUGGAUGGAUGUGGAUUAAUUCGAUGCAACGCGAAAA